AUGAACGCUGGCGGCGUGCCUAAUACAUGCAAGUCGAGCGAACAGACGAGGAGCUUGCUCCUCUGACGUUAGCGGCGGACGGGUGAGUAACACGUGGAUAACCUACCUAUAAGACUGGGAUAACUUCGGGAAACCGGAGCUAAUACCGGAUAAUAUAUUGAACCGCAUGGUUCAAUAGUGAAAGACGGUUUUGCUGUCACUUAUAGAUGGAUCCGCGCCGCAUUAGCUAGUUGGUAAGGUAACGGCUUACCAAGGCGACGAUGCGUAGCCGACCUGAGAGGGUGAUCGGCCACACUGGAACUGAGACACGGUCCAGACUCCUACGGGAGGCAGCAGUAGGGAAUCUUCCGCAAUGGGCGAAAGCCUGACGGAGCAACGCCGCGUGAGUGAUGAAGGUCUUCGGAUCGUAAAACUCAGUUAUUAGGGAAGAACAAAUGUGUAAGUAACUAUGCACGUCUUGACGGUACCUAAUCAGAAAGCCUCGGCUAACUACGUG
This 496-nucleotide ribosomal RNA is filed under the name uncultured bacterium. RNAcentral describes it as "partial 16S ribosomal RNA". It matches the Rfam family "Bacterial small subunit ribosomal RNA", at positions 29 to 507 of the family's 1533-position model. The record is from RNAcentral.